Non-coding RNA from Cyanistes caeruleus (blue tit), 3696 nucleotides. Lineage: Eukaryota; Metazoa; Chordata; Aves; Passeriformes; Paridae. The record is from RefSeq and is a predicted model, not a curated record.
AUUUUUUUUUUUAAUUAGAUACAUAGUUUUGAUAGGAAUCCUAUAGAAUCAUGUAUUGGGGGGGAAAAAUGGCAAGUUUGUGUAUGUCUGAAAGUGCUUUGGGGGUUUUUGUCAGCUAAGCAUUCAUUACCAAUGUGUCCUUAGAGGGUCUUAGGAAAGAAAAUACCACCUUCAAGUCAGUCGGUCUGAAGUCAAAAGUAAAAUACUUAUGUGCUGAAAUAGCACUCACAAAACACAGCACAGGUGAAAGAAGUUUGGUUUUUUUAAGACUAAAUGAAAGAGCAAUUAAGUGCCCUUUAAUUUAACGGGAAAAGAAACAAUAGAACUCAAUGCCCAGAGCAUGGCUCAGCUUCGCAAUGCAAAAGCAAAAAGAGCAGGAGCAGAGAGCAGACCCAGCAGUUCUCCUGGGUGAAGUUGCGAGUGAAACAGCUGGGGGGCUUGCAUGUUGCAGGUGAAUGUGUGAAGGAAUGAAAAAUAAUGAGAAAAGAGAAGACAUUGGGAAAGCCACCUGCAGGAGUGGAAUGGUGCACUGUCAGAGGGUAAAACAAAAAUACAGUUCUUCUUGGCUGAGUGCUCCCUAAAAAAAGACUUAUACUUCCAAACAUAGAACUACUUUGCUUGCUUCUGCCUUGCUGUAAUAGCACUUUGCUGUAAUAAGAACCUCUGGAAAUAAACAGGGCCUUUCCCAAAGAAAUCCUGGGUUCCUAUCAUCCUCUUCCAUUCCUAAUGCAACAAAGCCAGCAAGGCCCAGGUUUUGGAUAGCUACUUGCACCAUGGGGACAAAAAAACUAGCUGGCAUCAAAGCCUGUGCUGCACAGAUUAGAUCUUCUUAUCAAGAGUUAGAGAGAUGAAGAACUAUUGCGCUCUGCCCAGAAGGAUGGGUUCCAUGCCUUCCCAUGUGCUGUUGCAGGCAGCAUUGCUUUCUUCCCUUUGGAAGACUGUUAAAAACUCUGGCCUGAUCUGUUACUGCUGAAGUGAAUGGGAGUUUUGCCAUUGACUUCAAGGAGACAAGAAGCGAAUCAGGCCCUCUGCUUGCAAAUCCAGUCUUUAUAGUCCUUUCCAGAUACUAAAUAAAACUGUGCUUGGAAGUAAUUUGAAUGCCAGCAAGCUGGCCCAAUUUGCCAUGGAUUUCAAAGAUGCCCAACAAUCUAACAUUUAUUAGGAUACAAAUAAAGUGUCUUCUUCACAGUGCAAUUGCAAUUUCCUUCCCAGUAAAAAUAUAAACGUGCCUUAUGUGCAAACAAUUUUAGCAUUUCUGUUUUUAUGCCAUUUUACUGACAAGAAGCUCCCAGCUGUUAUAAUUUGUCUCAUCCUUCUCUCUCUUGUAGAACCAGCCUUUGUUCCUUUUUGCAGUGCCAGGGACUUGCUGAGCUCCACCUGAUGUGAUUUGUCCAGGCAUUAAUAAUGCAUCUUCAAGAUGCAAGAUGCAUGAAUUCCUUUAGUAACAGAUCCGCCGGCAGACUGCCGCACCGUAUUGUGCCGCUUUCCCGAGAUGGGGGAGGCAAGAGGGCCACACAAGCAUCAUGUACCCGUGCAGGUCACCCGGCUUGGCAGAGAGGGGGCUCCUGUUAUUACGAGGGGGUAACUACAUCCUCACGACGAGGUCAGGCUGAGGAUAAUGAACAUUACAGUAGACGUUCCUCCAGCAGGCAGGUCCUUACCCGCCACCCAAGGAAUCCCUGUGGAACGACCUGAGGUGUCCACACUGACAGUGACUUUAGGAGAAGUGGCAAGCAGGGGUCGAGUGCUGCCCCGCUGGCGAGUGCUGUCCCUAAACAUCACCAAACCAAGCCAUCUUUGCCUCCGAGCGCUCCUCAGCCUCCUCUCCCUUCAGGACGGCAGGAGAGCUCGGCACCCGGACGAUGCGCUUUAUGGACGCUGUGUGCUGGAGGGGGAGGCUCUCCCUCAGCAGACACCGCACACGCCUGCUCCUCACCCAUUCCCGGGGAACGCGGAGGGAUCUGACGGCCUUCCGCACCAAAUGGUCUCAGUGCCGCUUUCCCCGUGCGCGAGUGUGACUCGCAGGUGUUGCUGUCAGUGAUCCUCAAGGCUACAGACCGCAGGCUCAGCCCUGCCUUCUGCGGCUGUGACUGUGUGUACCCACAAGUAGGUACAUUCUCUGCACAGAGGGGCCUGGGAGUCCUGCUAGACAACGAGCUGUCCAAGACCAAUACUGGGAUGUAUUAGGAAGAGCAUUGACAGCAGAUUGAAGGAGAUGAUCCUGCCCCUCUACUGAGACCUGCCUUUUCAGAAGCCUCACCACCCUGCUGUCUCUAGGCUCAGAUCAGCAAGGCAGUCAAGCACAUACUUUCCUUCAGGAACAGCUGAGAUAUUUUAUAGCCUGUCAACAACCCCUCUUCAAGAAUAACCUGAGAAAGCAGAUUGUCUGUGGAGAGCAAGGCUUGAUCCACAACAGAGGAUCCUUUGAGCUGUAGUGUUUACCUUGCUGUCUCAAGCCCUAACUGCUUCAUUCUUUGUAAUUUGAUUAUUUGGUCACGCCCUGGAAUGCAAAGUAUUGCUCUGAUGUAUUUGUAUAAACCUAGGCUCUUCAAAUACUGUCCAGAGCAGCCAGACAGAAACAUCUGGGAGCCUUGCUUCUGCAGUGCCAAUAUGCAUGGAGACAGACUCAUUUACACCAACAAAAAAAUGCCUGUGCAUCUACUGACUAAUCAGAACACAAUUUGUCAAAGAAAAAAUAUUGUUUAUGCAUCAACAUUCACUUUGGAUUUUUUUUUUUAUUCUGAAGGUAAACAGUAAAUGCCAUUUACAUCCAGCUGCUGCAUCCCCGUAAUUCUGAACACAUUCAGUUUAAGUAUAACUUUGUUCAUCCUUUUUCUCAUCUUGAAAAUAGGAUAAAAAAAUCUAUCUCAGAAUAUAUUCUGCUAUAAUUAAACAAAUACAGUCAAGAUUCAGAGCCAUCUGUAUUUCAUACCAUACUUCAUAAUGUCUCAAUAUCACAAACUCUAAGGAGUAACACUAUACAUUAAUGGGAACAUGUGUCGUAUCUACUUGCUCUUUAUGACUUACAGGCUAUCUAUAUUAUCCCCAUGUCUCCAAAUCUCUGAAAACAAGUGUAAAUAGUAAUUCUUAUUAACUGCAGAGACACCUGCACUGAUAUGGACAAAUCUGGUCAACAGCAGGUUCCCCUGCUGUUUUACUAAGCCUGCAACAUGCUCCUGUCUCUGGCAGAUGCUCCUGUUUUGUAUUACUUCUAAGCAGAUAUCAACUUUAUGCACUUUUUGAAAUUCCUUUCAGGAACCACUGUCCUUCUGGCUACCAAGGGCCUUUUGCUGGAACAAAACAAUGAAGAGAUCAGGGAGCCUAUUGCAUCUGGAGGAUGUUCAGUGAUCUCUUCUGGCCUUGCUGCAGCUCCAGCUCUCUUCCUGCAGCUCCUUUUUUCCUUCAGAAGAGCUAGGACAAGUGCCUGCUAAGGAAGCAAGACAUAUCUCUGCUAACAGCUGCUCCUUGAAAACUUGCAAAAUCCGAUUGUGUGCAGCUGACUGCAGAGCUGGUAUAUGUGUCAGAAACCUGACAGAAGCUAAACCUGAAAAAAUGAGGGUAACAUACUUCUAGUUAGAGGAUUUAAAGACAUUACUUUUUUUUUUUUUUUUUGUAGAAUCUCUUUACCAUACCCAAAAUUGACUAGGGAAAAAGAUCUCUGUUAUUCAGCAUCUAAAUUAAAGGCUGAUAAAUCUG